ACGCCGCGUGAGGGAUGAAGGGCUUCGGGUUGUAAACCUCUUUCAGCAGGGAAUAAGCGAAUGAAGGUACCUGCAGAAGAAGCACCAGCUAACUAUGUGCCAGCAGCCGCGGUAAUACAUAGGGUGCAAGCGUUGUCCGGAAUUAUUGGGCGUAAAGAGCUCGUAGGUUGUUCGUUACGUCGGAUGUGAAAAUCUGAGGCUUAACCCCAGACCUGCAUUCGAUACGGGCGAACUAGAGUGUGGUAGGGGAGACUGGAAUUCCUGGUGUAGCGGUGGAAUGCGCAGAUAUCAGGAGGAACACCAAUGGCGAAGGCAGGUCUCUGGGCCAUUACUGACACUGAGGAGCGAAAGUCUGGGGAGCGAACAGGAUUAGAUACCCUGGUAGUCCAGACCGUAAACGGCGGGCGCUAGUUGUGGGAACCUUCCACGGUUUCUGCGACGCAGCUAACGCAUUAAGCGCCCCGACUGGGGAGUACGAUCGCAAGAUUAAAACUCAAAGGAAUUGACGGGGCCCCGCACAAAGCAGCGGAGCAUUGCGGUUAAUUCGACGCAACGC
This 556-nucleotide ribosomal RNA is filed under the name uncultured bacterium. Its description in RNAcentral is "bacterial SSU rRNA". It matches the Rfam family "Bacterial small subunit ribosomal RNA", at positions 394 to 962 of the family's 1533-position model. The record is from RNAcentral.